GCAGACAUGGCCGAGUGGUUAAGGCGACAGACUUGAAAUCUGGGAGCGCAGGUUCAAAUCCUGCUGUCUGCG
Molecule: non-coding RNA, 72 nt
Organism: Daphnia magna
Lineage: Eukaryota; Metazoa; Arthropoda; Branchiopoda; Diplostraca; Daphniidae
Source: the annotation of a RefSeq genome assembly